GAGUAAUGUCUGGGAAACUGCCUGAUGGAGGGGGAUAACUACUGGAAACGGUGGCUAAUACCGCAUAACGUCGCAAGACCAAAGAGGGGGACCUUCGGGCCUCUUGCCAUCAGAUGUGCCCAGAUGGGAUUAGCUUGUUGGUGAGGUAACGGCUCACCAAGGCGACGAUCCCUAGCUGGUCUGAGAGGAUGACCAGCCACACUGGAACUGAGACACGGUCCAGACUCCUACGGGAGGCAGCAGUGGGGAAUAUUGCACAAUGGGCGCAAGCCUGAUGCAGCCAUGCCGCGUGUAUGAAGAAGGCCUUCGGGUUGUAAAGUACUUUCAGCGGGGAGGAAGGUGUUGUGGUUAAUAACCGCAGCAAUUGACGUUACCCGCAGAAGAAGCACCGGCUAACUCCGUGCCAGCAGCCGCGGUAAUACGGAGGGUGCAAGCGUUAAUCGGAAUUACUGGGCGUAAAGCGCACGCAGGCGGUCUGUCAAGUCGGAUGUGAAAUCCCCGGGCUCAACCUGGGAACUGCAUUCGAAACUGGCAGGCUUGAGUCUUGUAGAGGGGGGUAGAAUUCCAGGUGUAGCGGUGAAAUGCGUAGAGAUCUGGAGGAAUACCGGUGGCGAAGGCGGCCCCCUGGACAAAGACUGACGCUCAGGUGCGAAAGCGUGGGGAGCAAACAGGAUUAGAUACCCUGGUAGUCCACGCCGUAAACGAUGUCUACUUGGAGGUUGUGCCCUUGAGGCGUGGCUUCCGGAGCUAACGCGUUAAGUAGACCGCCUGGGGAGUACGGCCGCAAGGUUAAAACUCAAAUGAAUUGACGGGGGCCCGCACAAGCGGUGGAGCAUGUGGUUUAAUUCGAUGCAACGCGAAGAACCUUACCUGGUCUUGACAUCCACAGAAGAAUCCAGAGAUGGAUUUGUGCCUUCGGGAACUGUGAGACAGGUGCUGCAUGGCUGUCGUCAGCUCGUGUUGUGAAAUGUUGGGUUAAGUCCCGCAACGAGCGCAACCCUUAUCCUUUGUUGCCAGCGAUUAGGUCGGGAACUCAAAGGAGACUGCCAGUGAUAAACUGGA
Molecule: ribosomal RNA, 1062 nt
Filed under: Salmonella enterica subsp. enterica serovar Typhimurium
Lineage: Bacteria; Pseudomonadati; Pseudomonadota; Gammaproteobacteria; Enterobacterales; Enterobacteriaceae
Description: bacterial SSU rRNA
Rfam family: Bacterial small subunit ribosomal RNA
Source: RNAcentral